This 252-nucleotide ribosomal RNA is filed under the name uncultured bacterium. Its description in RNAcentral is "partial 16S ribosomal RNA". It matches the Rfam family "Bacterial small subunit ribosomal RNA", at positions 524 to 776 of the family's 1533-position model. The record is from RNAcentral.
UACGGAGGGUGCAAGCGUUGUCCGGAAUCACUGGGCGUAAAGGGCGCGUAGGCGGCUCAUGAAGGCUGUGGUGAAAGUCCGGGGCUCAACCUCGGAUCGGCCGUGGCGACUCGUGGGCUGGAGCACUGUAGAGGCGGGUGGAAUCCGGGUGUAGCGGUGGAAUGCGUAGAGAUCCGGAAGAACACCAGUGGCGAAGGCGGCCCGCUGGGCAGUGGCUGACGCUGAGGCGCGACAGCGUGGGGAGCAAACAGG